This 254-nucleotide ribosomal RNA is filed under the name uncultured bacterium. Its description in RNAcentral is "partial 16S ribosomal RNA". It matches the Rfam family "Bacterial small subunit ribosomal RNA", at positions 524 to 776 of the family's 1533-position model. The record is from RNAcentral.
UACGGGGGGAGCAAGCGUUGUUCGGAUUUACUGGGCGUAAAGGGCGCGUAGGCGGCCAGCGCAAGUCAGUUGUGAAAUCUCCGGGCUUAACUCGGAAAGGUCAACUGAUACUGCGCGGCUAGAGUGCAGAAGGGGCAACUGGAAUUCUUGGUGUAGCGGUGAAAUGCGUAGAUAUCAAGAGGAACACCUGCGGCGAAGGCGGGUUGCUGGGCUGACACUGACGCUGAUGCGCGAAAGCCAGGGGAGCGAACGGG